CACACACCCACACACACACACACAAGCACACCCUCCACUUCCUGAGGAUGCCGGAGCGCUCUGUUACAGUUACAGUUAUAUCUGCAGGGAUGAGUCAUGGCCGUCCUGCAGGAGCAGACUGCCCGGGCAGACAGCUGCCAUCUGCUUAUCAGCAGCCAGCAUUCCCGCUCUGUCGCCAGGGGGGUGUGUGUUCCCGUACUGACACAAUGGGGCGGCGGGCCUUCUGCUGCCUGGAAAUCUCCACUCCAGGAGCCCCUACGUUUCUGGGCUGGAGACUGCUAAUGAUAAUGGAAUAUACUGUAAUUGUAUUGAAACAAAAAAAUAUCUUAAAAUAAAUGUUUUAGCAGAUGCUGCGUUAUAUUUACAUAUACAUGUUUUACAUAAAACAGUGUAAGUUAACAAUAGAAGGCUACUAGCUUUCCACGGAAGGAUGCAUCAGCGCAAAAAAUCUUCAAAAAAUAUCCAAGGCAGUCUCACCCCCAAGUUGGUAGGUUAAGUAAAAAGCUAAAUUUAUGAACGCAGUAAAACAGUGGAGCGCUGCCAGCCUCAUAUUGCGGUAUGUUUCAUUUCCAUAUGGAUUAAAGUCAGCCAGGCUGAGACUGUGGCUCACCAGAGGAGGCCUCAGGUAGACCCCAUCUCUGUGACCGGUGACCUCAUCACGAAUGCUGUAUAUCUGUGCCGACGGUCACGCAGUAGGGGAGAGACAUAUUUCAUAUCCUGGUGGUAACAAUGCCAUGUACUGUUCAUCACAAUAGCCUCAGCAGCAAGACCUGCCUUUGUCCUAUUGUGUCCCCAGAGUUCACCAUGCAGGAGCCUCUCCAUGGAUACCCAUGCAGAUAUUCUGAAGGUCAUGUGAUUGUGAGGCACAGGGCUAUUUUCGGCCAGCAGGAUACUGUGGGGCUUUGCAGUUCUUAAGGUGCUUUCCUUCCAUUUACAUAUUUUAUUUCCCCCAAACCUCCCUGUGUCUCCUUACAUUUUCAGAGGAAAACCUUGUCUCUCAGGUUUCUUCUGGUUUUUUAAUGCAUUUACUCAUCCAACCUGAUUGGAUUUUCUUUCACUUUAAACCUGGAUUGGGGAAGCCUUUCAGGUUUUCAAAGAAAAUUCAGUGGGCAUAAAGUGUAAGACACAAUUGUAUAAACUACACCGUGACUCUACGUUUAAACAUAAAUUCUAGAGCAUGGGAAUGAAAACUGAGACUAUUUGUGUGUUGCACUGCAUGACUGCUUCUGCACAUGCACAGCACCCUGUUGUAAUGUGUUAGCCAAUAGGUUUUAUCUGAUUGGCAUACUUUCCAGUCCAGCAGGAACUGCACAUUUAUUUCUGAUGUAAUGCAUGUUUCCCUCCCUGCACUGAAGACUACGACUCAAACCUGAAUGAUAGAACAGCAUGUCUUGCCAUGAAAUCCAUAUCCACAGUUUAACAGAAAGGGGCCUGGCCUACUCAGGAUGUGAUGUCAUAAAACAGCAGCACCGGAUCCCUCUUCCAGAUGACACUCUGUGUCAUCAUCACGCAAACUCAGGCUUUGUAAACAUUUGCAGGCAAGCAGGGGAAUCUGGGGAGACUGAAAUGUGCUCAUUUAAUCCCAGGCGGCUUUGUUUCCAUGGUGCCCUGUUCAGCGCCCUUUGUGACAAGAUUCUUGAGAACCACAUCAUGCCUCCUGGUGUUGCUGAAACCCAAGAGCAGCACCAUCCUUCUGUAUCGUCCUCUAUAAAGGGUGUCUGGAUGGUUGUCUGGAUUUGUGACUUUGUGAAGGCAGCAACACAAAUUACUUGGUUGAGAUGAGCUUGUGACUACUGUGCCUGAUAACACCAUCAAUUUGCCUCACCAAGGACAGUAUAAAACCAUUGUUCACCAGAAUGCAGGAGACUUCAAACCAACGGCAGUCUGCUCUCCUUCAUUUGGAUCAAGCCAAACAGCGCUCCCUCAAAGACAAAUGGCCUGCAACCUGAGCCUUUUAAAGCAGGCAACAAUGAGUUUCUGCUGUAUGCUCCCACAAACAAUAGGCCCCUUUAUUGCCACAAUCUCCCAGCUAAAAUCCACAAGGCAAAACCCUUUCUCCUUGCUGUGUUCCCGGCGGAGCGCGGUGACUGAGCUGCGGUCAGGAUCUUGCGCAGGCCUGGAGGUUUAUGGAACAGAGGCUUCAAGGACAUUCUCAGGGAGUGUGGCAUUGGGUAGUUAGCCUAAGGUAGCAUUCUCCAUUUGUGCACUUUACUGCAGCAAUUAAACAUUUACAGCAUAAAUCUCAAGCUCCCUAACAAAGUACAGGAAUUAUAAGUCAGAAGGAAUUUUCAUUUCUCCCAGUCCUUCACAGUUGUUCCCAGGCCGACCGAAUGAACAAAUAGCUGGGCACACACUGGUAAUGCAUUCAUUGUGUAACAAUUAGGGAGCAAAGUGCUUCAGUGCUCUCUCAAACGGUGUUAAGGAUAUUUCUGAUAAGUGCGUGGACUUUGCUACGUUCAGCUUUAUUGUUUGCACUUGCUGCUUGAUUGAACAGACAUAAUCUUAAAGUGCGCACUAGUGCGUGCAGCUUGCAACCUUGGCUUGGUCAGGGCACCACUGUGCUUAACUAAUGAUCAACUAAUGAUGGUUUCUCAGUAACCUUCAUGUCCUUCUUAGGCCUUUCCAAAUUGUGACUUUCCUGCGAUUAGCAACUGAGUAAGUUCACUCGACUGUCAACAAUGUUAGUUUUGCUUUUCAGAGGAAAAACCAAGCCCCUUACUUUUGUACAACAGUGUGCAAUAACCUUAAAUAUUACGCAAUGGCAGGCUAUAGCAUUUGUGGGUCAAUCAAUCAUGCUUUUCAGCCUGUUGUAAGCUUCAGCUGUAAACUCUGGAAAUUCCACCUGACUACAACACACACACACACACACACACAGUCACAUACAUACACACACCUACACACACACACACACACACACACACACACACACACAGGACCUUAAGCUGGCCAGUUUCCAAGGUCAAAUAAUACUACCAAACAAUGGCACUGCCAUUGAAGACCCAGAAGCACAGUGCAGUACAGUUCAAACCUGAGACUGCCUGUUCUCAGAGAUUGAGCACAUUAUCAACAUGUCUAUUGUCUGUGACACAAGCAUUAAGCACUGCCAGCAUUGUAAGAAGCAAUCCAGUAGUCUCUGCAUGAUGCAUUGUGUCGCACCUCUAAUAGGUCUAAUAGGUUUUUUGAAAUAAUUUACAGCAAGGCUUAGAAUUGAAAUUAAUUUAUUAAGAAAUCCCCACUGAAUAUUAUAUUCUAUAAUAGUUUUCAUACCAUUCAAGUAAAUCACUGAAAGAUCACAAGCACUGCAGCAAGCUCCCAAAGUUGUGCAGUUUGUCCAAAGUUGGCAAAGUUACAUAAUCUCAAAAGCUAAUUCAUCAUGAUAAGCGAACUGAUUAAAGUGAAUACGCUGUAGGUUCUUGUUUUAUGUUAGCUGAAUAUGGCUGUCAUCCCCAGUAAGAAGUAGCCAUGGGCUUGUGGGGACAUCUGCACCUCUGCACCUUGAACUGAUGCAAUUGUUGUACGUCGCUCUGGAUAAGAGCGUCUGCUAAAUGCCUGUAAUGUAAUGUAAUGUAAUGCAUGGUAAUUGUGGGAUCUUUCAGGACAUUCCCAGAACAGGUAUGUGAAGCUGUCUAGUGAAUUCAGAUUAUCAAGUACCAGCUACAAGGUGUAUUGUAAUAUCUUUCAUUUUUAAGUGGAUAUAAGAAAUCAAACAUAUGACGAAACAAGUUUAACAAAAUAUGAAGUGGUGUAUUCUAGGCAGUUUUGUUUUUUGCUUUUUGUUUUUAAAACAAUCUGUUAAUAAUAACCUAGCAUGUUCUUGUCACAUUAUCAUGAGCUUGAACUGCUGAAUUAACAACAAUAUUGACUGAAUUCCCUUGAAUGUGCCGCCAGUUUGCUUGUCAUGGAUGUUUUAAUAGAUAAUCAGAUUGUUUGAAUAAUUAAAGGCAGAAAUCUUUGAGAAUGAUCAUUUUGAAUUUAAGGAAGCCAUAAACGUGAAUAUCAGUAGAAAAAUGCUUUUUGGGUUAAAAUUUAAUUUUUCACUGUGGCAUUAUUGUACCUGAAUGUUAUUAUAAACAUACACCAUCUAAUAUUGUUUUCUUCCUUUCUCUUUUUCCCCUUCUCUCCAUCACUUUAUCCCUCUUCCUCUCUUUCUCACAGCAUGUCCAUGGCUUAAAAUCCAGUAAUAAUAGACAGCGCCACAAAUCUCUUCAUAGCAAUCAUAAUCAAGCAAUAUUACACUGUGGACCACUUAAGCCCUCUUAACAUUACCCACUGCGAUGCAGUAAGUGUGUUCAAGGCAUUAUUUGGCAGUCUCCAAACACAACAGAUGCCCUUAUUAUUACUAGAAAAAUGUGUAGUCGUGUGCUUGCGUCUUGAUUUGAUUCAGGUUUAUAACAUGCGGUCAGUUAGAUGACCUUCUCAAAGGUAUUUUUUGUGUGCAUGUAAAAAUCUGAAAGGACUUUAAAUGUGCAUUUUUCUUGAAGUAGGAAUAAUUCAAUUCUCCAACAGUGGCUUGGACCACUUACAGUAUGUUGGGUUGUCACAUUCUGUCUGCUAUAUGUUUGAAGUGAGAGUGUGAAAUCCAAUAGUAAGAGUUUUCCAGGCCACUUGACACUUAAGCACAAGUCACUCCCUGGUUUGACUAUACUGUUAAAUUAAACAUUUGAACCUGCUGGUUGUCAAACAAGUUUGGACAAUUGCAAUCAAUCUAAACCUCAGAUUAAAUUCCUUUUUUUGUCAGAACUGCGUUACAAGUUGGUAACACAGUAUUUUAGUUUUUUUUUGUUUGUUUUUUUGACAGUCAUGCCACAUGAACCACCUGCCUGGAAACUAGUGACUGCAUGAUUGAUAGAAAUGUAUCCAAAAAAAAAAAAACAUGCAUCUGUGUUUUGUUUAGCCAAUUAGUUAUACACACAAGCUUCUGAAAUGAUAUAUUUCCAUGAAUCAUUGUCCAGCAAAAUGUGAACAAAAUGUUCAAAUACAUUCCAUUGUUAAACACACAGAAGAUAAGCACAUUAUUUACGUAUCUCGGGUAUAUCUUGAAAAUAGAUUCACCACCACAGUUCCACAGAGUGUAAAAUAAGAUUUGUGUUUUCUGGAUUAAUUGUACUGAGAAAAAAAUGUGUGAUUUUCCAAAGGGGGGUCAAAAUCCUUUCUGAUCGCUAAGGAUCAGAAAAAUCUUAGAUUCAGAUGUUUUUCUGGUGUCCCUUUGCUUUUAUAAAAUACACUACGAGGGUGCGACCGAAAGCGCUUACACUUAGCUUUAGAGCUAAGCUCUGGCUGUGUAGAGAAAUAGACGGAUAUCCAGGAGGAGGUCUAGAUCUCUCCAAAUCCAUGUCUCUGAAAAAACACUUUUGUAUGAUCAUUUAAGCAAAAUGGUCAGAAACACAGGAUUAACCAUAUUUCAAAACUGUAAACACUGAGAUGCAAACUGCAAGGCCUACACAAUCAUUGCUUUUCAUUUUGAUUACAAUCCACUAGCAGUUCAUUAUUUAGCCAUCAGCUGCUGCAUUUGUCCAACAUAAUUUGAGUCCAAAAUAAUAAAGCUUCAUUCCUUUGACACAAGAACAAUAAAACCAGUCCUCGGCAGUACACAACAAGGUAAUGAGAAGCCAGUGGUAAUGGGAAUAACACUUAACAAUGAUCUUUUACUGCAGUGGUGGCUAAAGAAGAGAAUGAUAAAGCAAGAUAAAAUGUGUUGUAUACACAGAAUAAAAAUCAGGUUUACAGUAUAGGUAGCGAUAGAGGUUAGGUACAUGAUAUGCAGCUGCCAGUUUCCUGCUUUUUAUUGACUUCCAUGUCAAUAAUAAAGAACACAGUGCCCUCAUAAUGCAAUGCCAUCUAAAAAGCCUUUAUCAGGAGUAUACAAUGCUCUGCACCAAUGAAAUCUGUGGAGACACAAGUCAAUAUCUAUUGGCUAGUUUCAGAAAUUAAAUUUGUGCUUCACUAAUGGUUAGUUAUAAAUACACAUGCAAUUAAUCUGUUAAAUAUGUUUUCGAGAAAUAUUACUUUGGACCUUACAUUUUUCCAAGACAAUUUAUAUUGCAAAAAACAAAAAAAAAAACAAAAACAAAUAAAAUCAUGAUUCAGAACCCUAAAUUCCACAGGGAGAUCUAUGCUGGUGAAGGAUGAGAGACUCAGAGGGGUCACUCUAUGCUAUAAGGCUUUCUUCACUGUCGUCUGGACUCUGGAGAGGUGUUCCUUUUGGCACCCUGAAUCCAGAUGUCACUUUAUGCCACGGUGACACAUACGCGCAUCAGUGUGUCAGCCUUCUCCCCAGUCCUGGUCACACCAGGCUGGGCGGUAACCUGGGAUCACCGUCCCCCAACGGCUCUUUAACAGGGUCACAAGGUAGGCCUCUGUCUUGUGAUGCAUCCAGACACAGGACCGGAUGACAAGACGCUACUGUUAGCAGUAGCUAUUCCCCCCACUGGCCAGCUGCUCGGCUUCACUGAAGGGCCAUGUUUCCACUGGGUGCUGUCCCUGUGGAAAGCAUAGAGUCACUGCAUUGCAUUACGCCCUGUCUCCAUUCAUAAAACCCGUUCUGAAACAAAGCCAAUGACCAUAAAGUUGUGAACUGAACAUCCCAAGCCUUGAUAAGCCUGAUAAGCCUUCUGUUAUUUUCCGUCCUUUUCCUGUUCUCUCGGUCUGUUUAUCUUUGUCACCUACCAAGAGCAAACCUACAUGUAGCCCUGCCCUGCCACACCCUAGCUACAGCCAAUGAAUGAUCGAGAAAUAUCAAUACAUUAUUUAAAGUGGUAAGCAGGAAGAUUGAGCACCCUUUUCUUUUGUUUCUUUUAUAGGAGGGCUUUUUCUGUUAUUCCAUUCAAGGACCAUGAUUUAUAAUGGAAUUGCAUCCACAAUCGCAUUCCCAGUAAAAUUAUCUGACUGUACCACUGAAACAGGCUGGUAAUUUCUUCCAUUUUAGAUGCAUGUGGAGAUGUUAUCAUGACACAACAAAUAGAAUCACAUGCAAUGCUUUUCUCAUUUCAAUAAUUAGCUGAAAAAUAUCUGUCAAUGAAAUCUGUAAAAAAAAAAAAAAAACAUUGUGAUAAUGGUAAUUAUUUACACAUUAGAUAUACAACACUCACAAUAAAAUAAUCUUGGAGCAAAAUCUUAGUACAACAUGUACCAUUAGGAACAGGCAAAUGCUACAUUCAGAUAAGAUGUACGUUGUGUUCAUCAGUGUUUUCUAAACAAAAUAUCUAAACAUAUUCAUCAACUUGUUAUAUUCUAAAUAGAAUAGUUAGAUGAUACAUGUAAUUACAUCCAUUCUUUCUGCAGGAGACGCUUAACAUAAGGGUACAUGACAAGAGUUUAAUGUUGGGGGGGGUGAGUUAGCAUUUUAUUUUCUUCUCACCUACAAUAUUUACAUCUGUAACAGAAUUGGACAAAGGCCGUGUGGUUAUAGCUUCAUUUAAAGUGAUUAAACUUAAAAAUAAAAUUCAAGAAGUCAAUCGGUAGAAAAAAAAAACUAAUAUUAUACCUUUCAUUAUUGAUAUGCAAAAAAAGAAUCCUGUCAUUUUAAUUGCUUAUUGUCUGCAUUCUUGAUAAAACUGGGAGCAUGAGGACGUACAGUAUGGACAGAGAUGUUUCCUUUCCUCGUGGUUUGGAAAACCCCUGUUAACAAUAGCAGAGAAUUUAUUGUGUCUAAUUAAUUUUCAUUACCUUUAUAUAAAUAUCCUUCACAACUGAAGUCUUAUUAGGAGCAGGAUAAGUCAAACACAGUAGAUAGUUCUGUUUUGAACUGAGAGCUGUUCAGGCUGUGAGCUGUGCAAGCAUAUGAAAUAAAUAAAUAACUACAGAGACCGGUGGUAACCAUGGCAGCAGCCUCUCAUAGGACAUUCCCAUUCGACCCUGUUGCUUUGAUCUCUGGACAACCAGAGGAGCGUUACAUCAUCAAUGGAAGCUAUUGGAUAUUGGUACGGAUGCUCUGCUGUGGCCUUAAUGAUUAUGGCAAACUGCAGCUAGCGCCAGUGGCACGCUCAUCUAUUCCGUAGUCCCUUUGAGUGCCUGGGCUGUGAUUACUGCCCCGGCUGACGUCCUUUAGCCUGUUGUAAUGAAAGGAAACACUUUUAAGCCCCUUUUCUUUUAUGACACAAAGGAGGAACCCAUGAAUGAAACAUUCAUUGUUGGUUUGAGCAAUGUGGCGUGAGCACGAAGCAGAGAAGUGUGUGACCUCAUCAGCAGCUUUUGCCUGUUUCAUCACUUUAUGUGGAGCUGCAUUGGAGAGAGAGAGUUAUAAACAAAUAGUGCCAUUUAUACUAUUUGUAUACACUAGAUUCACACCUUAAUUAAUGUUAUUUGUUUCUUCUUUGCACCAUGUGCAUUUGUUUUUAUUAUUAUUGUUAUUAUAGUGUUGUGGGUCAUAUUUAUUACAUGUUGUUUCCAUGUUUCUGUGACUUACAUUUGUUGCUUUGGCAAGCUGUAGGUAUCCUGCCAAUAAAUCAUAGCAAAAUUGAAAUUGAAAUUGAAAAUUGAGAAAUAAUAUGCAGAACAGGGUUCUCAAUUAGCUAUUAAAUGUCUUAAUAUUUGCACAUGCACGCUAAAACACCCCAAGAACCUGCAAGCACUGUUGCCCACAACAGUGGAGUUUCAGUUAUCUGGUGAAAAGUAUACUACAACAGAAUGUACCAUACACAGCUGGCAGCAUUCUGGAGAGUGCAUCUGGACAGAGGUGAGAUGGCUUUUCAUCAGGCACUUACCAAACACUGGGAGUAUGUUCCGCAGAGCCAAGGUAUCAUUUGCAGACAGAAUGACUUUGGUUU
Molecule: long non-coding RNA, 8765 nt
Organism: Anguilla anguilla (European eel)
Lineage: Eukaryota; Metazoa; Chordata; Actinopteri; Anguilliformes; Anguillidae
Exons: 4
Source: RefSeq, a predicted model, not a curated record